RNAcentral lists this transfer RNA (66 nucleotides) under Eulichas sp. BMNH 840452. RNAcentral's name for it is "tRNA-His". The record is from RNAcentral. Lineage: Eukaryota; Metazoa; Arthropoda; Insecta; Coleoptera; Eulichadidae.
AUUUAAAUAGUUUAAGAAAAAAUUUUGGUUUGUGGAUCCAAAGAUAUAAUUUUAUUAUUUUAAAUA